This 77-nucleotide unclassified non-coding RNA is filed under the name Candidatus Kentrum sp. TC. The record is from RNAcentral. Lineage: Bacteria; Pseudomonadati; Pseudomonadota; Gammaproteobacteria.
AACCGCCGGGUGCGGAAAACCGCAUGUCUGGUGGUGUGGGAGGAGUGACGGGCGAUAGUCCGUCACUUCGACCCGAU